UACAGAGGUCUCAAGCGUUGUUCGGAUUCAUUGGGCGUAAAGGGUGCGUAGGCGGCGCGGUAAGUCGGGUGUGAAAUUUCGGAGCUUAACUCCGAAACUGCAUUCGAUACUGCGGUGCUUGAGGACUGGAGAGGAGACUGGAAUUCAUGGUGUAGCAGUGAAAUGCGUAGAGAUCAUGAGGAAGACCAGUGGCGAAGGCGGGUCUCUGGACAGUUCCUGACACUGAGACACGAAGGCCAGGGGAGCAAACGGG
This 253-nucleotide ribosomal RNA is filed under the name uncultured bacterium. RNAcentral describes it as "partial 16S ribosomal RNA". It matches the Rfam family "Bacterial small subunit ribosomal RNA", at positions 524 to 776 of the family's 1533-position model. The record is from RNAcentral.